GCACACCACAAUCGAAUUUUAUAAGCUCUUAUCGCUCGGCAGAGCCUCAAUAACGUGCUAACGGCACCCGAAGCUCCUGCUCCCUGCUCGCCUGCCAAAGCUGAUAGCAGCCACAAAAGCUCAAUUUAAAAUCGAACAAAAAACAACCAAACAUUCGAAAUCGAAAUCGAAACCGACAUGCGACAAUCGCAAUUAGCGAAAGAAGGAAGGAAAGCAAGAGACGGAACAAAAGGAGAGCCGGAGGAGGAGGAGCAGUAGAAGGAGGAAACUGAGUCAGACCUCGGAGUCUACCGGCGUUUCACGGAGCAGGAGGAGGUGGAGGUGCUGGUGGCGGGGAGCCUGCGGUGCUGCCUCUGCGGGCUAUAUAGAAGCCGACGCCAGCGACACCGACAACGACAACGAAGGCAGCGGCUGAGGCGGCGGCGACAACGAAAGCUCCAGAGAGACGGACAGCGAGACGAUCGACGGGGAAUUCUCGGUGUCGUUAACACUACAGUUCGGCUCGGAUCGGAUCGGCCGUUGGUUGGCCGCUGGUUCGCGCCUCGGAUCAUUUCGGAUCGCUGCUUCGUACCCUCCUCUUAUCGGCGGAGAUUAAGCGACUACUAUAUAUAUGUAUGUAUGUACAUACAUAUGUGUACAAUACAUCUGUACAUAAAUCCAUGUGUACAUAUAAUUCAAAUUGUUUAAUGGCCCACUAAAUGUGUACAUAUAUAUAAUCUGUAUAUAGAACGCGUAUUUGUCUGUGGCUUUGUAUGUUUUUGAGCUUUCAUUAAAAUAAAUAUAGUUUGUUAUUUCUAA
Drosophila pseudoobscura is the source of this 798-nucleotide long non-coding RNA. RefSeq lists it as uncharacterized. The record is from RefSeq and is a predicted model, not a curated record. Lineage: Eukaryota; Metazoa; Arthropoda; Insecta; Diptera; Drosophilidae. The transcript has 4 exons.